GACUCCGUGUGUUUCAGUCUGACUUUCGGACGUGAUGCGAAAGGGAGAAUGUGUCAGUUCUCGCCAGGUCUGAAUUUAUGAUGUUAUUCUUCAUGAUUAAAAGGCAAGAGUAGAUAAGGACUGCCUUGUGUCUGGACUGAUUUAUUCCACACGUGCUGCACUCUGCUUCUCACCGCUGUGUUUCGCUCUGCUACCGGCAAGAGAGAGAGGCCUGAGGAGGACUUUUGCAGGAAGCACGGAUAGCUUGCAGAGUUCCGCAACGGAAGCGUGCCGGGCUCCAUGUUCAGUCUCUGUGUACCCUCUUGUCCGGUGUAAAUAAUUCCAACAGGUUAUGGAAGCUCGCCAAAGCUUUGAAGCAUUGCAGGAACGUCCCACGUGUGGGGAAGCCAGCAGGAAAGUUGCUGGGGUCCAGCUGGAGCUCUGGAGCUGUGUCUUUGAAGCUGGAAGGAGCUCGCUGGGGAGAAGCGAUCUGCCGGAGCCGGGAGGCGGAGAAAGCUACUGCCGGGAGACGUGAGUAAGCUUAGCCCCCGGGGAGGAGAUGGCAGACGAUCGUGAAUCAUUCUCAGUUCCCUUUGAGAAAUUAAAUGGACAAAAUUGGGCCGAAUGGAGCCGGAAGCUAAAGGCCUGGCUGGUAGCCAAGGGGUUGUGGGAGGCGACCCAGGGGCCCCUCUCCCACCACCUGCAGCAGGAGCAGCAGCAGCGGACAUAGCGGCUGCUCACGCGUCGCAGAGGAAAACCAGAAAGCCCUGGGAGCUAUAGUGCUCAGUUUGGAGGGUUCCCAACUUCCUCUGGUUGAAGGGCUUGAGACUGCUCAGGAGGCCUACCAAGCCCUUGAGAGGGUGCACCACAGAACCACGGCUGGUGCAAAGAUCCACACCACCAGACGCUUAUUUGAGAUGAAGCUGCGUCCCGGUGGGAACAUCAGACAGCAUGUUACUGAGAUGCUUUCUGUUUUCAAUGAGUUGCGCCUGUUACAGGUCAACUUUUCAGAAGAGCUGAAGGUUUAUAUUUUGCUCAGCUCUCUGGACAAAAGUUAUGACAAUUUGUGUCUGUCUAUGGAAUCGAUGAGUCCACAGGAUUUGACGCUAUCGUACGUGACAGGGCGUCUUUCGGACGAACAGGAGAGGCGUGUCCGAGAAGGCAGGUCUGGCGCAGGCAGCUCCACCGGUUGCAGAGGUGGGGGCAAGCCAGAUGAGAGCUGUGUUCAGGCUUUUUCCACUCGUCGAUGUUAUGUCUGUGGAUCCAACAGCCAUCUAAAACGGGCUUGUCCGCAGAAGAGCAGAGAGGCCGGGCAGGAUGUCUCCAAGGUCAACCAGCUGAGUUCUCAUGGGAACCAGUCUCGGAGAGGAGGCCAGCGUGGGAACGCGAAGGAGGGACGUGACUCAGAGAAGGGAGACUGUUAUCAUCUCGCGGCUUCUCUGGCAACUUUGAACAACAAUGCCAGCAGGGACACAACUAUGAAGUGGGUGCUGGACUCAGGAGCGAGUCAUCACCUGAUAACGCCAUCUGCUGGGGAGCUGCAGAAUUGCAGGGCUGUUUUAACUGGAAUGACUUGUAAAUUUGCUGACGGGAAAAAACGAAAUGUAUCUAAAGUGGCAAAUGUCUAUAAUUCUGUUUUGCAGGCUGAGCUGGAGUGCUUCAUUGUACCAGGGAUGAAGUGUUGCCUGUUAUCGGUUUCUGCUCUGGCGAAGCAGGGAUACAAAAUUUGUUUUGAAAAUAACACCUGUUCCAUUUUCAGAGGGGGAGGCAACUUGUCAACGUGGAGAGCAAGGACAAUCUCUUUGUUCUGGAAACACCUCUGGAGGGUGGUGGGAAUGCAGGGAAAGCACAGGCGCAGUGUGCUAGUGUUCCCAGCCAUGAUUCAUGUGUUCAUGUAUGGCACAAGAGAAUGUCUCAUGCUUGUCUGGAGGAUGUUAAGAGGCUGCCAGGCUGCACCGAAGGAUGUAAAAUCACACCAUGUGAGAGAUCCCUAGUGUGCAGGGCAUGCAGCAAGGUUCAAAGGUGCAGGUUUCCCGGGGUAAAGAGGGUAACCACAAAACCUUUUGAGUUGAUUCACACAGAUCUGUCAGGACCCAUGAGGUGUGAGAGUCUGGGUGGGGCCAAGUAUGUGCUAUCGCUGACAGAUGACCACAGCCAGGUUGGCUGGUGUUUCUCUCUCAAAUCACAGGGGGAGGCGGCGCAACUGAUCCAGGAUUGGGUUGCGGAGGUGGAACGAAGGUUUUCCACCAGGGUGCAAGGGUUCAAGAGCGACCGAGGGUCACAGUUUACUGGGUCUGCUCUGGAGGAGUUUUUCAAGGAAAAAGGAAUACGUCACCACGUGACGGGUGCAAAGUCUCCUCAAGGGAGAGGCGUGGCACAGCACAGGAGUGAAACACUGGCUGAAGCUGUCAGAGUUUUGCUGGGUGACUCUGGGCUGCCUCAGAGCUUUUGGAGUGAAGCUUGGAAAGCUGCCAACUUUGUUUUUAACAGGUCCUACAAUCACGAUGUAGGUGACACACCGUAUUUUCUGUUGCACAAGAGGAAGCCACAGGUGCAUUUCUUCCGUUCGUUUGGUUCCAAGGCUUCAGUGCCAAUACCAACAGCGCAACGGAAGAAGGAUGGUCCUAGGUACCAGGACAUGAUCUUCUGUGGGUAUGAUCCUGCAACAAAUGGGUGGAAGUUUGCAUACCCAGAGGGUGAUCAGACCACGCUGCUGGUCAGCAAGCAUGCUGAGUUCUUUGAGCAGGAUGGUUGGUCACAGCCUAGGUAUGGUUCUGAUUUUCUCUCAGACUGCUUGUCCGAUUCUGAGGGGGAGGAAAAGGAGGAAGAAAGGGAGGAAGGAGAGGCAGAGGCGGAGCCUGUUGCUGAAGACCAGGUUGCUGAUGAUGGUCAAGCACAGGGGUGGGUUUCUCCACAGGUUAAGAGGGAACCCAAGAGUGAGCCUUCAUCUCCUGUUAGCCAAGUGCAGGAAGCCCGAAGACGCAGCAAGUCAGAGGGGAGUCUUCUGAGCUUGCUGGAGACACACUUGCUGACCCCAGUGGGUCAGGAGGAGCGCCUGAGGUUGUGCUCCGGCGGUCAACUCGGACCACAAAGGGGAUUCCACCGGAGAGGUUUCAGGUCACCAGUGCGUGGGUUGGUUUCGCACAGUGUGAUUCUGGGAGUGUGGAAGGGAUUCAACAAUUGCCUGGGAUGGAUGCCAGUGGGAGGCAAAAGGCAAUGGGAGGUGAGUUGAACUCAAAGAGGUCUGUAAAUAGGGGUUCACAGUUUCCCUCAGGAUUCGUGACGAGAGGGGUGUGAAUGGUUUCAGAACUCACAGAGUUAAAGAGUUCUGGUGACGUCUCUUUCCUGAGGCGUGGUUAGAAACACUUAAGGGAGGGGUUUGACUCCGUGUGUUUCAGUCUGACUUUCGGACGUGAUGCGAAAGGGAGAAUGUGUCAGUUCUCGCCAGGUCUGAAUUUAUGAUGUUAUUCUUCAUGAUUAAAAGGCAAGAGUAGAUAAGGACUGCCUUGUGUCUGGACUGAUUUAUUCCACACGUGCUGCACUCUGCUUCUCACCGCUGUGUUUCGCUCUGCUACCGGCAAGAGAGAGAGGCCUGAGGAGGACUUUUGCAGGAAGCACGGAUAGCUUGCAGAGUUCCGCAACGGAAGCGUGCCGGGCUCCAUGUUCAGUCUCUGUGUACCCUCUUGUCCGGUGUAAAUAAUUCCAACAAAAAGUAUCCUUUUUUGGGGGGGAGGGGACCUGACUGAUACUAUGAUUUGUUUUAUGAUAAUCAAAGUUAUCAAGAGAGCCAGCCCUUCAAAGAUAGGACUGCGUGGCUGAUCCUUUAAAGGUACUUUGCCUCUAGGUUCAGCUUUAAUCGUUUUCAUUCUGUGUUGCUCAAUUUGCCCUCAUAUGUUUCUCCUUUAGAUAACAUUACUUGUACAAAUUCCAACCUUAGCUGGAUUGGUAAGACUCAGAGGGUCUUUAUGGCAUUUCUUAUAUAACAGAUCUAGGGAUGGGCUAAUCUAUCAAUUUCAUUUCUCCCCGUUGCUCUUUUUCCCCCAAUCUUAAGUUUGUUAUUGACAUUCCCGCAUAAGGUUGUAAUUUUGUUUUGUUUUUUAAAAGCUCUUCAAUAAUUUUCAUCUGCAUUAUAGUGCGUGUUUCUCCUGAUCUACACAUUUUGAUAUGCAUUUUUUUGCAAGCAAUUUUCUGCCAUAUUUUGUAUGUUAUUCUCAACAAUAUAGUUUUAUUCUAUUAUAAUUAUUUAUCAUUUAUUGAGUUUAAAUCCUGCCCAAAGGAGGGCUUUUCCACUUAUAUACACAUUUUAUGUACAUAUUAUCUGAUUGGACUACUCCAUUGUAAAAGUUGGAGAGGUUCGCAUAUGGUUUCAGGAGGUGUGAAUUAGGUAGGUUUAUGUUCAAAUGCAAAUCAAAGCAAAAUUUUCCCUCAUUCCUAAACAGAGUUCAGCUUAACUUUUUGUGCGUUGCAUCUUUUCAGUGUGUGUUUCCCUGUCCUCAAGUCCCCUAAGCUGAAGAAAUAUGAAGAGCAAGUGGUGAUUGAAUAAAUAUCAAAGGUUGGUUUGUUGGGGAAUAAGGAAUAGCAUGGGGAGGUUGAAUUUGCUUCAGUUUGGUGCCUUGUCUAUGGCUGCAAGCAUUUGGGUAGAGGAGGCAAUUGGAGUUAGAACAGAAAACAGUCACAGUAGCACCCAAGUAAAUUAUGUCUACCCUCUUCUAUGUUUGGGUACAUAGUAGAAUGAGAAGUAAAAUCAAUUCCAAACACACAGACUCCACAUACUGGCAAUACUUGUUGCUGUUGAGAGCUAUCUUAUGAAUAUAAAUGUUUCCCUGAUAGAGAUGGCCCAUGCUCAUUUUGUGAUUGCAAAGUUCAGCUUAAGUGAUUUUGGAGCAAAGAGUUUCAAGAGUAGGGACAAUAUUGUUUAGCUUGUUAGUAAAACCCUGAAACAUUCAAAAGAAGAGAUCUUGACUCCAACUAUGCUUGAACAGCUUGAUAUUUGUUUUAUGCUUUUUUCAGAAUUGCAUCAUAGUAUGGCCAAGGCGUGCGCACACACACAGUGGCUCUCCCUGAAAAGAGAGAUGUUUUGGAAUAUUGCCUGUUCAUUUUCUGGAUGCAUGGAAGUUUUUAUAUAUAUAUGCUGGCAUUGUUCCUUUCCUAAACUAGCAAUAUUAAGCUACAUUUAGGUCAUGGUGUUUUUCUCCAAGUAGGAAUGGAAAUGGAUGUGGAACAGAACACCUAACUAUAUGCAUUUAUAAUGCUCUUGUGCACACAUUUCAUUGGAAAUUAGUCCCGCCAUGUUCAGUGGGGCUUACUGCCUGGUUAGUGUGUUCAGGACUGCAACCUUAGUUGGGAAACAGACUUCCUCUCUGUAUUUGCAUUGUUAGGGACAAAGAAACAUAGGAACAUAGUAAGCCCACAACUUAUGCAGCCCUGUAUAAGUAAACUUUUUAAGGUUUAAUGUUUUACUAUGUUUUUAUAUAUGAUGGAAGCCACCCAGCAGCUGGGGCAGCCCAGUUUGCUGGGAAGGGUACAAAUAAUUAUUAUCAUCAUCAUCAACAACAACUUUAUUCAGGGGUUACAUUCCAGUGAUUGUGCCUAAAGCCAACAUCACUUAUAGUCAAAACACAUUGGGUUCAAUGGCGGGUGAGAUUAUCAGUGUCUUUCCAAUCAUCCCCUUUCUUUCCCUUUUCUUUCUUUCCUCUUUCUUUCAAUAUUUUGCCCAGUGUGCAAAGCUGAGUGUGCACAAGUUAAAUGUGCAUAUAUUGUGGGCUUAGUGUAUUAAGUCAGACCAUUGGUCCAUGUAAAUAGCUCAUACCUGCCUACACCAGGAAUUUUGAACCUGUGGCCCUCUAGAUGUUUUUGGACUCCCAGCAGCCCCAGCCAGAUACAGUGGUACCUCGGGUUAAGUACUUAAUUCAUUCCGGAGGUCCGUACUUAACCUGAAACUGUUCUUUACCUGAAGCACCACUUUAGCUAAUGGGGCCUCCUGCUGCUGCCACGCCGCCGGAGCACGAUUUCAGUUCUCAUCCUGAAGCAAAGUUCUUAACCUGAAGCAUUAUUUCUGGGUUAGCGGAGUCUGUAACCUGUAGCGUAUGUAACCCGAGAUACCACUGUAUAGUUCAGCAAAUUCUGAAGAUUCUCCACUCACUAAACAUCAGAAAAAAAACUUUCUGACAGUAAGAGCUGUUCGACAGUGGAAUGGACUCCCUUGGGAGUCUACCUUCCCUGGAGGUUUUUAAGGUUUUAAAGCAAUGGUUGGAUGGCCAUCUGUCAUGGAUGCUUGAGCUGAGAUUCCUGCAUUGCAGGCGGUUGGACUAGAUGACCCCUGGGGUCCCUUCCAACUCUACAAUUCCAUGAACACAUAGAAUGGUUUGUCCUAGAAAAGCAGCAUCAAAGCCCUUCUCAACUAUGAAGAAGGAAACAAAUCACUACCUUUUGACCUAACCUACUAUGUACAUAUUGUUGUGCAGCUGGAAUAAGCUAAUCCUGAGAUCCUUGGAGGAAAUAUGAUGAAUAUGUAAUGACAAAUAAAAGAAAUAUGUUU
This 6517-nucleotide long non-coding RNA is filed under the name Podarcis lilfordi (Lilford's wall lizard). Lineage: Eukaryota; Metazoa; Chordata; Lepidosauria; Squamata; Lacertidae. The record is from RNAcentral.